AAUGCUAAAGAGUUUACCAAAAUCCCAUAAAAAUUAGUGCUAAUACUUUGGGAAAACAGUGAAUUUUCAGGAAACAAAUUCAGGGCAUUACUAUUGAGAGUAUCCACUGUGUGGAUACACAGGAACGAAGUUUCCAAGUUGUGCAUGACUGUGAUGGUGUUUUUGUCCUCAAAUGCAAAUGGAAUGGAGCACAAGGUUAAUGAGCUUCAGACCAAGCUGAAGCAAGAACACAAGGAGUCGGGACAAAGUGAAGUAGCUCCUGGGAAUGCUAUGCAGCAUUUUAUUACAUGUUAUAGCAAGAGGAGGGAAUCCAGACUGCUGUCAGAUAUUAAGUAGGAAUAUGGUUCUAACACUGGUACAGCCCUAUUGUUGCUGACCUGAGAGGUGACAUGCUGCAUUCUUAGUCUGUACCUGGGCUGUAUGGAUGCCUAAGAAUUCAGAGCAUCAAUGCUGCAAGGAAAAGCAAUGAUUAAGAAGGUCAAGCUGGGUAAGACCCCUGUGGAUACAUUUCCAGCAAGAACUACAAGAAUGUGAUCAGGCAUUUCAAGUUACUAAUGAGAAUGUGCUUGUGAUACCUUUAAACAGUGCUAAUUUUGAAUAUUUUUUUUUUUACUGAGGGUGAAAUGAUGUGAAGAAGAGUGGGGUCUGAGCACUUCAUUAAUGCCAUAAAAAAAAAAAAAAUGAGGGCAUUAAAAAUUAUAUUCCUGGUAAAAUGCAUCCUAGCUUCUAGGCAUGCAGUAAAGUAGACACGUCAGGCAACACAGAAUUUAACUACCCAUAGUGUGGGUUUCUUACUGUUUAUCUAGGGGCAUCAGACCAGUGAACCUACUAGAUCUUCUUUGUCCUGAAAGGAAAGAACAAGAAAACUGAUAAAAGUUAUGGAUUGGCUUUUGCACAGGGAGUGACUGACUCGGUAGGUUGACUGCUGGCUCAUGAUUAGCAGGAGAGGAGAACAUGGCCCAUCACAAAGUCUGUAAAAUCAACUGGACCCUGAUGCAUGUGGAACGAUUUUUACACAGUACAGCAAUUUCAGCUGGAACUGACCCUGUCCCCCUGGGAAAGGUGCUGACAGGUUUUUUGGGGGGAAAUGGCAGAGAUCAGCACAUCUGGAGCACAAAGGAUGGGCUUCACCCUAGAAAACCCACCUUCCAUGACUGUAACAUCUUCCCUACCAGGAAAAGAAAAAGCUCCUAGGCUGGAGAAGCCAUUGGACUCAUGGCUGUGUUGCAGCAGCAAUGUUCAUAUUUGCUUCUGAAAGUGGCUGCUGGCUGUACCUCCACCAGAAAUCUUGGAGGAUGUGGAAGAUGAAGGACAAUAUUGGAAUGUCUUGCUUGUGCUGCUGCUGUCCUUAGGUAAUCACCUGGAACUGAGCAUCAAAGGGACCCAUCUGUUCUGCCAUGCCCAGGGGGGAAUCAGGUACAGGUGGUUUAUCAGCUCCUCAGUGCAAGUGUUGCAGAGCUGUUUACAUAAAUCUUUUUAAAUCUGCACCGAGGUGUUUCAUGGCAUGGUACAGAACUUUGUAAAGAAACAGUGGAAUAAGCAUCUCAAAAAGAUGCAUAGUAUCAGACAUUACUUCCCCAUUAUCUCUUGAUAUGCUCUAACAGGGCAGUUGAUUGCUGAUGGAUGCAAGUGUUAUCCUGAUUUAAGUGAGACUCUGCAGCACUCAUGCUUCUCUGUCAAUUCUCUAUUUCUUCAUUGGUUCUGGAUUAAAUCUAAAAAACUGGCUUUGUUUAUGUCCCUCUAAAAACUGGCAGUAGAGUUAGUGGUAAAUAACUUACUUAGCUGUCUACUCUCACACUGUUUACUGUGGCUUCAUUUUACAUGAUUUGUUUUGUUGAAUUUUGCACACUCUCCUGCCCCCAAAAAAACUCUUCUGGAUGGUGAAUGA
Non-coding RNA from Lonchura striata (white-rumped munia), 1888 nucleotides. Lineage: Eukaryota; Metazoa; Chordata; Aves; Passeriformes; Estrildidae. The record is from RefSeq and is a predicted model, not a curated record.